RNAcentral lists this ribosomal RNA (467 nucleotides) under uncultured bacterium. RNAcentral describes it as "partial 16S ribosomal RNA". It matches the Rfam family "Bacterial small subunit ribosomal RNA", at positions 28 to 507 of the family's 1533-position model. The record is from RNAcentral.
GACGAACGCUGGCGGCGUGCUUAACACAUGCAAGUCGAACGGAAGGGGCCUGCUUUCGUGGGGUGCUCGAGUGGCGAACGGGUGAGUAACACGUGAGUAACCUGGCCUUGACUUUGUGAUGACUUCAGGAGACUGCUGCUAAUACCGGAUAGCAGCUCCUGCUGCAUGGUGGGGGUGGGAACGUUUCGUCGGUUGGGGAUGGACUCGCGGCUUAUCAGCUUGUUGGUGGGGUAGUGGCUUACCAAGGCUUUGACGGGUAGCCGGCCUGGGAGGGUGGCCGGCUCCAGUCGGCCAGGGGUGGGCCCAGGGGUCAUACGGGAGGCAGCGGUGGGGAACUGUGCAAAGUGGGCGGAGGCCGUGUGCAGCAACGCCGGGUUGGGGAGGACGCCAUGCGGGGGGGAAGGCGAUUUAGUUUGUGACGUGGUGUGAGUGCGGUAAAAGGGGAAUGAGCCCCGGGUUAAUUAGGG